This 367-nucleotide transfer-messenger RNA is filed under the name Christensenellaceae bacterium. It matches the Rfam family "transfer-messenger RNA". From Rfam's summary of the family: Bacterial tmRNA, also known as 10Sa RNA or SsrA, is named for its dual tRNA and mRNA-like properties. Lineage: Bacteria; Bacillati; Bacillota; Clostridia; Christensenellales; Christensenellaceae. The record is from RNAcentral. RNAcentral also lists the same sequence under 4 other names.
GGGGAUGUUUUAGGAUUCGACAUUUUUGUUCGGACGAUAAGAAGCACGUCGCAGGUCCGGCUGCGUUAAAGACGGAAAAUUAAAAUUAAACGCAAAAAAUAACGAAAAAGUGAACGCUCCCGCGUUCGCAUUCGCCGCUUAAUUAACAGCGACACGCCGACCCUGUGCGCCUACUCCGCAGGCAAUCGGCGUCAUACAGGGUAGGGUACGAUUCUGCCCACGGCCGUAAGCAGAACCGUAUAACGGCCUCUUCAAAGUUGCAGACUGUCGGCGAACUGCAACGAGAGAACUCAAUCACCGACUAAACGUGUAGAAGGUAUCGGGCGGGUAAGGAUGAACCGGGGUUCAAAUCCCCGCAUCUCCACCA